GGUUCGAUGGCGUAGUUGGUUAUCGCAUCUGUCUAACAUUGUUUGCGUACUUGCCUGUUACAAUCCUGUAACACUUGCGUAACAUGGUCACAGAAGGUCCUCAGUUCGAGCCUGGGUCGAAUCA
Molecule: transfer RNA, 124 nt
Filed under: Agrocybe pediades
Lineage: Eukaryota; Fungi; Basidiomycota; Agaricomycetes; Agaricales; Agrocybaceae
Description: tRNA-Val
Source: RNAcentral